Molecule: ribosomal RNA, 253 nt
Filed under: uncultured bacterium
Lineage: Bacteria
Description: partial 16S ribosomal RNA
Rfam family: Bacterial small subunit ribosomal RNA
Source: RNAcentral
UACGUAGGGGGCAAGCGUUGUCCGGAUUCAUUGGGCGUAAAGAGCGUGUAGGCGGCCAGGUAGGUCGGUUGUGAAAACUGGAGGCUCAACCUUCAGAGGUCGACCGAAACCAUCUGGCUAGAGUCCGGGAGAGGAGAGUGGAAUUCCUGGUGUAGCGGUGAAAUGCGCAGAUAUCGGCAGGAACACCCAGGGGGAAACCAGCCGGCUGGGGACGUGCUGACGCUCAGGGGCGAAAGCGUGGGGAGCGAGCCGG